Molecule: ribosomal RNA, 253 nt
Filed under: uncultured bacterium
Lineage: Bacteria
Description: partial 16S ribosomal RNA
Rfam family: Bacterial small subunit ribosomal RNA
Source: RNAcentral
UACGAAGGGGGCUAGCGUUGCUCGGAAUGACUGGGCGUAAAGGGCGCGUAGGCGGUUUGGACAGUCAGAUGUGAAAUUCCUGGGCUCAACCUGGGGGCUGCAUUUGAUACGUUCGGACUAGAGUGGGGAAGAGGGUCGUGGAAUUCCCAGUGUAGAGGUGAAAUUCGUAGAUAUCGGGAGGAACACCAGUGGCGAAGGCGGCGACCUGGGCCAAUACUGACGCUGAGGUGCGAAAGCGUGGGGAGCAAACAGG